RNAcentral lists this small RNA (654 nucleotides) under Pan troglodytes (chimpanzee). RNAcentral's name for it is "processed transcript". The record is from RNAcentral. Lineage: Eukaryota; Metazoa; Chordata; Mammalia; Primates; Hominidae.
UGUAUUUUGGGAUCUCUACUGUGCAGCUCCAGAGAGACGUGAAACAUGUGAACACUCAAGUGAAGCAAAAGCCUUCCAUGAUUACAGUGCUGCAGCAGCUCCCAGUCCAGUGCUAGGAAACAUUCCCCCAGGAGAUGGCAUGCCAGUAGGUCCUGUACCACCAGGGUUCUUUCAGCCUUUUAUGUCACCUCGGUACCCUGGAGGUCCAAGGCCCCCAUUGAGGAUACCUAAUCAGGCACUUGGAGGUGUCCCAGGAAGUCAGCCAUUACUCCCCAGUGGAAUGGAUCCAACUCGACAACAAGGACAUCCAAAUAUGGGUGGGCCAAUGCAGAGAAUGACUCCUCCAAGAGGAAUGGUGCCCUUAGGACCACAGAACUAUGGAGGUGCAAUGAGACCCCCACUGAAUGCUUUAGGUGGCCCUGGAAUGCCUGGAAUGAACAUGGGUCCAGGUGGUGGUAGACCUUGGCCAAACCCAACAAAUGCCAAUUCAAUACCAUACUCCUCAGCAUCUCCUGGGAAUUAUGUAGGUCCUCCAGGAGGUGGAGGGCCACCAGGAACACCCAUCAUGCCUAGUCCAGCAGAUUCAACCAACUCUGGCGAUAACAUGUAUACUUUAAUGAAUGCAGUACCUCCUGGACCUAACAGACCUAAUGU